UUUGCAUAUUCAAAAAGCGGAGGAAAAGAAACCAACAGGGAUUGCCUCAGUAACGGCGAGUGAAGCGGCAACAGCUCAAAUUUGAAAUCUGGCCUCUCGGGGUCCGAGUUGUAAUUUGUAGAGGAUGUUUUGGGUACCGCCCCGGUUUAAAUUUCUUGGAACAGAAUGUCAAAGAGGGUGAGAAUCCCGUCUUGGACCGGCGGUAGGGCCUGUGUAAAACUCCUUCGACGAGUCGAGUUGUUUGGGAAUGCAGCUCAAAAUGGGUGGUAAAUUUCAUCUAAAGCUAAAUAUUGGCCAGAGACCGAUAGCGCACAAGUAGAGUGAUCGAAAGAUGAAAAGAACUUUGAAAAGAGAGUUAAACAGUAUGUGAAAUUGUUGAAAGGGAAGCGCUUGCAACCAGACUUGAGCGCGACGGUUCCCCUAGCCUUUUGGCUAGGUUACUCUGUCGUGUCCAGGCCAACAUCGGUUCUGAGGGUCGGUCAAAGGCCCCGGGAAUGUACCUACCCACGGGUAGACUUAUAGACCGGGGUGUCAUGCGGCCUCUCGGGACCGAGGAACGCGCUUCGGCUCGGAUGUUGGCGUAAUGGUUGUCAGCGACCCGUCUUGAACACAGGGACCAAAA
Molecule: ribosomal RNA, 622 nt
Filed under: Phialophora verrucosa
Lineage: Eukaryota; Fungi; Ascomycota; Eurotiomycetes; Chaetothyriales; Herpotrichiellaceae
Description: LSU rRNA
Rfam family: Eukaryotic large subunit ribosomal RNA
Source: RNAcentral